AAACGCUUGAAGUCAGUCGCGUCGUCCAGAACUCAACCUGGCUUUUGCUUGGUGCACUUUCUGGUUGACGGGCCAACAUCAGUUUUGACUGUCGAAAAAAGUCCUUAGGAAUGUGGCACCCUCGGGUGUGUUAUAGCCUUUGGUCGUACGCGAUGGUUGGGACUGAGGACCGCAGCACGCCUUUUGGCCGGGGUUCGCCCACGUACGUGCUUAGGAUGUUGGCGUAAUGGCUUUAAGCGA
RNAcentral lists this ribosomal RNA (240 nucleotides) under Phlebiella sp. RNAcentral describes it as "partial large subunit ribosomal RNA". Lineage: Eukaryota; Fungi; Basidiomycota; Agaricomycetes; Xenasmatellaceae. The record is from RNAcentral.